UUUUUGUCCUUUUGCCAUUUCUUGGGCUGCUCCAAUGGCAUAUGGAGUGGCCCAAGAAAUAGCAAAAAGCCAAAAAAAAAAAAAAAUUAAAAAAAAAUUAGAAUUAGUGUAGAUAACUGACAACUUUCCCUUUCCCAAGUUCUAGUGUUCCGAUUAGGGUGGUUAACUUACCCUUAUAGGCAUAGCAGAUAGAGGCAGAGCUUCAGCAGUUUGGUCCAGUUGUUUUUAAAAAUAGGCUACAAUGUGAGUCAGAGGUCCUGGUUUUUGUGUAAGUACCCCAAGGGGGUUCCUCCUUUGUCAUGUACAUAUAGAUGAAGGGGACAUGUUGGGUAAAUUUAAAGUGGGAGCUUUCAUGAGAUGGAUUUUUCAGUUUGAGGAAACUUGGUCACAGUUGGGGGUUCACUAGAAAGGGUCAAUGUCCUUCCCUUUUAAUUGUUCAUAAAGGGCUUAGCAAUUAAGCCAAAGUUGGGGAUCCAUAUGCAGCAGUACCCAGGAAAACUCUGAAACUACUUUCUUGUACAAGGGGGUGAUAUUUGGCAAACCAAUUCUUUCUACUCCUUAGUGCCCUGUGCCCCUUUUCUAUAAUGAACCUUAAAUUCUACCCACUUGAGGGAGAUUUGGGGUUUUUCCUUUGAAACUAUAUCCUUUCUCAGCCAGGUGAUUUAAGACAUUAACUUUAUCAUGGUCAGAAAGCUCUUUGCUGGGGCUGGCAAUUAAGAUGUCAUAUACUUGAUGGAGAAUAGUUCCCUGUUCUAACUUGAGGUCACUGAGGUUCUCAGCUAAAACUUUUCCCAAAAGGGCAUGGGAGUUUUUAACUCCCUGGGGCAAAACCAUCCAACACAAUAAUUGCUAUUUUUUCAAGUUGUUGGGUUCCUGCCACUCAAAUGCAAAAAUGUAUUGAGAUUCUAGGGUUGGGGGCACGCAAAAGAAGGUGUCUUUUACAUAUAACACUGAAUACCAGAUUCUCUUAGGUAUAGGGUAGAGGGUAAUGUGUUUGAGUUUGGUACUACAGGGGGACUCUCCUCUGUAGCUUCUUUUAUGGCCCUGAGGUCCUGAACUAGCUGGUAUUUCCCAUUUGUCUCCUUUCCUGGCAGAAUAGGAGGGUUGCAAGGGGAUGGCAGGUUCUAAGAAACCCUUGCUUGAGUAGGCUAUGUCCCUGCUAGGGCUUCUUUGCUUAAAGGGUAUUAUUGUUGUUUAUGUGGGUGACUGUGUCAGAAUCACAGCUUGACUAUAACCAGUGGUGCCCUCCUGGCUCUGCCCAUGGUGUUCUGGGCUUGUACUGAGGGAUUAACCUCCUCAAGAUUAAUCGGGCCCUUAUUCUUGACAGAGGGCAUUUGCACUAGGGCUACAGAAUGGAAGGGAGUCUUAGGUAUUUUGAUGAUAAGGUUUUUGUCUCUGAGAUAAAUUGUAGCUCCCAAUUUGUAUACUGAGUCUUUUUCUAUUAGAGGAAUUGGGCAUAUAAGAGUGAAAUAAGAUUCUCCCUUCCACAUCACACACAAGGGGCUCUGUAAAAUUAAAUUCCUGUGGCUUCCCUUCCACUUCCAUUAUCUUACCUUUAGCUUUGCUCAUUCUGCCUUGGCAGGUGUUCAAGAGUGAGUAGGUGGCUCCUGUAUCGACUAGGAAGCCAGUCCUUUUACCUGCCACCCCCAGUAAGAGUCAGCUAAGGCUCCUGCAGGAGCUCCUGAGCCCCUUUAGUCCUCUUUUUCUUUGAUAUAUGUGACCAGUGAGGAUAGCCUAGGACAUGGUGGUAUCCUUCCAGGAUGUCUGAGGCAUUACCCUUUCCAGUGGCCCUCUUCCAUGCAGUGUGCACACUGAUUGGCUUUGAGCCCUCUCCCCACUGUGGGCAUGACCUGGGGUGACUCAUCAGUGUCACAGGGUCCCUUCUGGAGGGCCCCAUCAUCACAGGGAGGUUGGUUGACUCUGAAUCUGCUGAGCCCAGAAUACUGGAAGUUUGUUCUACUCAUCUAUCUUCCUUGGCAUCUGCCUCUAGAUUGGCUACUGAACACUGGAAAUGCUGACUCUACCCCAGGAAGUGGGCAAGGUGGGCCCUAUCUCCAACUUCCCUAAUUUUCCAGCUUCUCCAACUUUCUGUAAUGUCUGGAGGCACUCUGGGAAGUGAAAUGGGACCUAAGAGUGGCCCGCCCUUCCACUGACUCCGGGUUCAUGUUCAUGAAUAUAUGAAGGCACUCCCUCAGGCAUUCCAGGAAAGCCUAAGGGUUUUCCUCAGUAUCUGGAUGACUCCCUGAACCCCAGUCCAGUUUAUGGGUUUCUUCCCAGCCUGUCGAAUACCCUUAAGAAUCAAAUCCCUGAAAUGUGUGAGGAGCUGCCAACCAUUUUCUAAGUGGUCCUACCCAGGGUUCAUAUCAAGAAUGGCCCAGAGUCAAGGCUAGUAUACAGCACACCCCAUAUUAUUUUGAUUGGUCUUAUCAGCUUCCUCCCUUGUAUUAGUUAAAAUCAAUUCCUUUUCUUCUCUGGAGUAUAAGAUGUUCAGGAGGGUUUGGACAUCCACCCAAGUGGAGUGUAGAAUAUUUCCUGGACUAAGCUAAGGACUCCCUUGUGGUCUUCCUUCAAACCCUUGGAUCUAUUCUUCCAGUUAUAUAGAUCUGAGAAGAUAAGGAUAUAUUAUACAUAGUGAUCAAAAUGCCCUUUCCAUCGGGGACCUCCCAAAGGGGAAAUAGCUUAUUGAUUCCGGAGGGCUGGUACUGAACACCACUGUGGGUAUGCUCUGGACUAGUCCCUGAGGGAGGCAUGCCAAGAGAUGGACGGGGGCGGGGGGGGGGAUGUCAGGGAGGAAUGAGGGGACCAAGUGGGUGGUGGUGAAUUGAAGGGAAUAGCAGGUGUCAGGGAACUAGGAGAGGUAGGAGUAGAUGACUCAGGAGUCUUGGGUUAACUGGUCAUAAAGGAGAGCAGCUACUCGUGGUGCAGGGAGGAACUCAAGAGGAUUCUCAGCCUGAGAUUCCAAUGCCAGAAGAGAAAGAUUAGAAAUAACCUCUCAUUUCUUACAGAGGCCCUUGUUUUGGCAAAGCACCAUGAAAUGCGGGACAUAUGGGAUCUCAUUCCAUUUUUCUUCAAAUGCUGGCAGUAGAGGUACAACUGAAAAAUGGUAUUAUAAUUUAGAAAGUCAUUUAGUUGGCCAACUUUCCCCAUACACAAAUUUAUACUGGGGCCACAAAGUGUUGCAAAAGAAAGUAAGCUCUUUGUUAGUGGGUGGCAAUUUCCAGUUACGGGAUGAACCUUAAUGGUGAUUUUGCUAGCAUAAAGGCUUGAUUAUCCCUACUGGGUAUUUCUAGUCUGUUUCAAACUUUCCAGUGGUCUCCUUCUAGGGUUGGGGGUGAUACAUAUGCCAAAAGAUCUAGCCCACACCAAGUGGCCUAGGUGCUCUAACUGAAACAUGAACCAAUCUUCAUGGGGGCAUUGAGAGGGGAAAUGAUGUUUAAGGAGGUCUUAGUUAUAAGGUCCCCUGAACAUUCCCAGACCAGUGUGGGGCUCUAGGAGAUACCUGAUGUAGGUGAGUGCUUUCAGCAAGCAGUCUCUGGAGAUAGGGUGAAGGCAGGGUGGGAAAUAAGGGUUCUCUAGCCAAAUAAAUUAACCAGAAAGCCUUUCAGGACAUCAAGGAGACUUGAUAAAAGAGGGCUUGUGCCUGGAGAGAGGGGAUUAAAGUGGUGCAGUAGAAGGACUGGAGCUCACCUUCUGUCAUAAAAACAACAAAAUUACAACCAACUGCUGAAGAAACUUCAACAAAAUAGACUAUCAAAAAAGAUAAUCUACCCCAGAAGACAAAGAGGAGGCCACAUCAAGAUGGUAGGAGGGGUGAUUACAUGAUAUAAGCAACUCCAUACCCACAGGGUGGGCAGCCUGCAGACUGGAAAGUAACUGUAUCACAGAGGUUCACCCAUAGGAAUGAGAGUUCUGAGCCCUACAUCAGGUUCCCACGCCUGGGAUCUGGCAUUGGGAGGACGAGCCCCCAGAGCAUUUGGCAUUGAGAGCCAGCAGGGCUUGUAUACAGGAGCAUCAUGGAACUGGGGGAAAUGGAGACUCCAUUAUGAAAGGCUUUCAUCUGCACUGGGUCCCAGGGAAAAGCAGAGACUCCAUGGGAAAAUGGGUCAGACUUGCCUAUGGUUCUUGGGAGGAUCUCCUGAGAAAAUGAGGUGUCUGUGAGCCAGGAGGGAAGGACAUUGGAGACAAAGGUCUUGAGAAUAAUCAUCAGUGUAUAUUUCUCUAGAGGUGGCUCUUUUGGAAAAAUAUGACCCUCCCCAUCAGGACUGAGAAGCCCCAGGCCAAACAACAAACAGGAUAGGAACACUACCCCAUUCAUUAGCAAAAAGGCUACCUAAAGAUCCCCCAGGCACACAGCUGCCUCUAAUCAUACCCAGAGACAAAGCCCCACUCAACAAAGGGAUAAGAAUCAGGUCCACCUACCAAUGGGCAGGCACCAUUCCCUCCCAUUAGGAAGCAAGAAAGUCUACAACCCUACUGUAUGCAAAAAGGAGUCAAUCUUAAGACAACAAUGGGACAGUGUUAAACACACCAACAUCCAUAUUAUAGGGGUGCCAGAAGGAGAAGAGAGAAAGGGUCAGAGGAAAUAUUUGGAGAGAUAAUAGCUGAAAACUUCCCUAACAUGGGAAGGAACCAGUCACUCAAAUCCAAGAAGCAUGAGUACCAUAUAAAAUAAACCCAUGAGGAACACCCCAAGACACACAUUAAUCAAACUGACCAAAAUUAAAGACAAAGAGAAAAUAUUGUAAGCAGCUAGGGAAAAGAAAUAACAUACAUGGGAACCCUGAUAGGGUUAUUAGCUGAUUUUUCAAUAGAAACCCUGCAGGCCAAAGGGGAGUGCCAUGAUAUACUUAAAGUGAUGAAAGGGAAGAACUUCCUGAUAAGAUUACUCUAGCCAGCAAGGCUCUCUUUCAGAUUCAAAGGAGAAUUUACAGACAAGCAAAAGCUGAGAGAAUUCAGCACCACUAAACCAGCUUUAUGACAAAUACUAAAGGAACUUCUCUAGGCAGAAAAGAAAAAGCCACAGCUAGAAACAAAAAUAUUACAAAUGACAAGCCUCAUCAGUAAAGGCAUACAUAUAGUAAGGCAUACAUCAUCCACACACAAAUAUGCUACCCAAAGCAGAAAUUGUGAGAAGAAGGUAUAAAUGCAGGAUGCUGGAGAUGCAUUUGCAACAGAGAAACAAACAACUUAAAAACAAUCUUGUGUGUGUGUUCCUAUGUCAAAACUUCAUAGUAACUGACAACCAAAGAUCUACAAUAGAUACUCAAAUAAGAAAAAGCAGUCUAAACAACACUAAAUAUAGUGAUCAAACCACAAGAGAAAAAAGAGAAGAGACCAAAACAGUAAAAUGGCAAUAAGAACAUAUGUAUCAAUAAUUACCUUAAAUGUAAACUAAAAGCUCCAACCAAAAGACAUAGACUGGUUGAAUGGAUACAAAAACAAGACCCAUAUAGAUGUUGUCGCCAAGAGACCCCACUUCAGUUUUAAGGACACAUACAAAUUGAAAGUGAGAGGAUAGGGUGUUCCUGUUGUGGUGCAGCAGAAACAAAUCUGACUAGUAUCCAUAAUGAUGUGGGUUUGAUACCUGGCCUCAGUUAGUGGGUUGGAGAUCUGGCGUUGCCAUGAGCUGUGGUGUAGGUCAGAUCCUGUGUUACUUUGGCUGUGGUGUGUAGGCUGGCAGGUGCAGCUCCGAUUCAACCCCUAGCCCAGGAACCUCCAUAUGCUAGGGUAUGGCCCUAAAAAACAAAAUUAAAAAAAAAAAAGUGAGAGGAUGGAAGAAAAUAUUACAUGCAAAUGGAAAUCAAAAGAACGCUGGAGUAGCAAUACUCAUAUCAGACAAAUACACCUUAAAAUAAAGAAAAUUACAAUUAUUAUAAUUAUUGAUCAAAGGAUCAAUCCAAGAAGAUGAUAUAACAAUUAGAAAUAUAUAUGCACCCAACAUAGGAUUGCCUCAAUAUAUAAGGCAAUGACUAAUAACCUUAAAAGGAGAAAUUGACAAUAACAUAAUAAUAGUGGGGGACUUUAACACCCCACUUAGAACAAUGGACAAAUCAGACAGAAAAUCAACAAGGGAACUCAGGCCUUAAAUGAUGCAUUAGACCAGAUGUAUUUAAUAGAUAUUUAUAUUCCAUCCAAAUGCAGCAGAAUAGACAUUCUUUUCAAGUGCACAUGGAAUAUUCUCUAGGAUAGAUCACAUUCCGGGACACAAAUCAAAUGUCAGUAAAUUUUAAAAAAUUGAAAUCAUAUCUAACAUCUUUUCUGACCACAAUGCUAUGCAACGGGAAGUCAAUAAGAAAAAACUGCAAAAAAACACAAAACACCUGGAGUCUAAGCAACAUGCUACUAAACAACCAAUCCAUCAUUGAAGAUCUCAAAGAGGAAAUUAAAAAUACCUAGAAACAAAUGACAACAAAGACACAACAAUCCAAAACCUGUGGGAUGUAGCAAAAGCAGUUUUAAGAGGAAAGUUACAAGCCUACUUCAGGAAACAAGAAAAAUCUCAAAAAAAAAAAAA
RNAcentral lists this long non-coding RNA (6514 nucleotides) under Sus scrofa (pig). Its description in RNAcentral is "lncRNA (ENSSSCG00065019679.1)". Lineage: Eukaryota; Metazoa; Chordata; Mammalia; Artiodactyla; Suidae. The record is from RNAcentral.